AUCAGAACCCCGCAGUUAAGCGUGCUUGGGCGAGAGUAGUACUAGGAUGGGUGACCUCCUGGGAAGUCCUCGUGUUGCACCCC
Molecule: ribosomal RNA, 83 nt
Filed under: Arabis alpina (gray rockcress)
Lineage: Eukaryota; Viridiplantae; Streptophyta; Magnoliopsida; Brassicales; Brassicaceae
Source: RNAcentral